CCUACGGGGGGCUGCAGUGGGGAAUAUUGGACAAUGGGGGGAACCCUGAUCCAGCCAUGCCGCGUGUGUGAAGAAGGCCCUCGGGUUGUAAAGCACUUUCAGUGAGGAAGAACGCCUGGUGGUUAAUACCCAUCAGGAAAGACAUCACUCACAGAAGAAGCACCGGCUAACUCCGUGCCAGCAGCCGCGGUAAUACGGAGGGUGCGAGCGUUAAUCGGAAUUACUGGGCGUAAAGCGCGCGUAGGUGGCUUGAUAAGCCGGUUGUGAAAGCCCCGGGCUCAACCUGGGAACGGCAUCCGGAACUGUCAAGCUAGAGUGCAGGAGAGGAAGGUAGAAUUCCCGGUGUAGCGGUGAAAUGCGUAGAGAAUGGGAGGAAUACCAGUGGCGAAGGCGGCCUUCUGGACUGACACUGACACUGAGGUGCGAAAGCGUGGGUAGCAAACAGGAUUAGAUACCCGAGUAGUC
RNAcentral lists this ribosomal RNA (465 nucleotides) under Vreelandella stevensii. RNAcentral describes it as "partial 16S ribosomal RNA". It matches the Rfam family "Bacterial small subunit ribosomal RNA", at positions 338 to 795 of the family's 1533-position model. The record is from RNAcentral. Lineage: Bacteria; Pseudomonadati; Pseudomonadota; Gammaproteobacteria; Oceanospirillales; Halomonadaceae.